AUGCCACAUUCUACGGCCACACACGCUUUGAUGCGUGCUGAAUUUGAGGAUAUUUUUCCCACACCCUCCUUCACAUCACGACGCCCGAACCAAAGAGUUCGCCCGACAAUUCAUGAUGUUAUCACUUCAAAGAUUAAAUCAUAUGCUAGAGAGGCUUCAAAGUCCAACAUAGAUAAAGUUGCAAAAAGAACGGCAUCGGAUGUGUCACAUUCACAUGGAGCUGUCACCUGUUACCAACUACCUAAACAGAAAAAGAAGAAUGAGGCAUCGACAUUGGCAACACAACUUGUUGCUAGUCCCAUCUCUCCAGUUAUGGCACCCACAGGAGAUGCUCAGCAUGCAGCUAGUCAGCUUCUUGGUUCAAUAUUUGAGUGUCUAGUAGGCAUACUUGAGAACCAUAUUACUGUUGGAGAGCUCCUUGAACAAAAAUCAUCAACUGACGUUGACAGUGUAAACACACCUCAUGUGGCAAAUGGGGACACAAGCUGGAAUCCAGAUUCUGAAUACUCCCAACCUACUGGUGGUUUUAGUGUUGCAUUCUCUCUGUCAGUUGUUCAGAGCGAGUGCCAGCAACUUCUGUGUGAAAUUUUGCGGGCAACUCCAGAAGCUGCUACUGCAGAUGCAGCUGUUCAGACAGCUAGGCUUGCAAAUAAGGACCCAGUGAAGGAAAAGAGGGAUGGAUCAGAAGGCCUUUCUUUUGCUUUUCGCGUUACAGAUGCAGCAAUCUCUGCGCAAAAUGAAGGUCAAGGAUGGAGAAGAAACCCAGCUGUACCCCAAGAAGGGUAUGGAACAGCAAGCAUCAUACCUGAUCAAGGGAUUUUCCUAGCUGCAUCAGUUUACCGUCCUGUCUUUGAGUUUAUGAAUAAAAUAGGAUUGAUGCUUCCUCGAAAGUACUCACAACUUGGGUAA
RNAcentral lists this ribosomal RNA (909 nucleotides) under Triticum aestivum (bread wheat). RNAcentral's name for it is "partial small subunit ribosomal RNA". The record is from RNAcentral. Lineage: Eukaryota; Viridiplantae; Streptophyta; Magnoliopsida; Poales; Poaceae.